UACUGUGCUGCAUAUUGCUUCCAGAAAUAGUAACCGUCAAACUAUCGAAUGUUUGUUACAAAAAUAUUGUGAUCCAAAUAUAUUAAACAAUAAGAGUGAAAAGCCAAUAGACGUUGUCGGAGGUGACCCAGAAAUAAUAAAGAUAUUAAAGGAAUAUGGAAAUUCGAUUUUACCUGGU
Molecule: long non-coding RNA, 178 nt
Organism: Mytilus trossulus (common blue mussel)
Lineage: Eukaryota; Metazoa; Mollusca; Bivalvia; Mytilida; Mytilidae
Exons: 3
Source: RefSeq, a predicted model, not a curated record